CCUACGGGAGGCAGCAGUAGGGAAUCUUCCACAAUGGGCGAAAGCCAGAUGGAGCAACGCCGCGUGGGUGAAGAAGGUCUUCGGAUCGUAAAACCCUGUUGUUAGAGAAGAAAGUGCGUGAGAGUAACUGUUCACGUUUCGACGGUAUCUAACCAGAAAGCCACGGCUAACUACGUGCCAGCAGCCGCGGUAAUACGUAGGUGGCAAGCGUUAUCCGGAUUUAUUGGGCGUAAAGGGAACGCAGGCGGUCUUUCAAGUCUGAUGUGAAAGCCUUCGGCUUAACCGGAGUAGUGCAUUGGAAACUGGGAGACUUGAGUGUAGAAGAGGAGAGUGGAACUCCAUGUGUAGCGGUAAAAUGCGUAGAUAUAUGGAAGAACACCAGUGGCGAAAGCGGCUCUCUGGUCUGUAACUGACGCUGAGGUUCGAAAGCGUGGGUAGCAAACAGGAUUAGAUACCCGAGUAGUC
RNAcentral lists this ribosomal RNA (465 nucleotides) under uncultured bacterium. Its description in RNAcentral is "partial 16S ribosomal RNA". It matches the Rfam family "Bacterial small subunit ribosomal RNA", at positions 338 to 795 of the family's 1533-position model. The record is from RNAcentral.